UUAAGCGACUAAGCGUACACGGUGGAUGCCCUGGCAGUCAGAGGCGAUGAAGGACGUGCUAAUCUGCGAAAAGCGUCGGUAAGGUGAUAUGAACCGUUACAGCCGGCGAUGUCCGAAUGGGGAAACCCAGUGCAAUUCGUUGCACUAUCGUUAACUGAAUACAUAGGUUAACGAGGCGAACCGGGGGAACUGAAACAUCUAAGUACCCCGAGGAAAAGAAAUCAACCGAGAUUCCCCCAGUAGCGGCGAGCGAACGGGGAGCAGCCCAGAGUCUGAAUCAGCUUGUGUGUUAGUGGAACGGUCUGGAAAGUCCGACGGUACAGGGUGAUAGUCCCGUACACCAAAAUGCACAGGUUGUGAACUCGAAGAGUAGGGCGGGACACGUGGUAUCCUGUCUGAAUAUGGGGGGACCAUCCUCCAAGGCUAAAUACUCCUGACUGACCGAUAGUGAACCAGUACCGUGAGGGAAAGGCGAAAAGAACCCCGGCGAGGGGAGUGAAAAAGAACCUGAAACCGUGUACGUACAAGCAGUGGGAGCACCUUCGGGUGUGACUGCGUACCUUUUGUAUAAUGGGUCAGCGACUUAUAUUCUGUAGCAAGGUUAACCGUAUAGGGGAGCCGCAGGGAAACCGAGUCUUAACUGGGCGUUAAGUUGCAGGGUAUAGACCCGAAACCCGGUGAUCUAGCCAUGGGCAGGUUGAAGGUUGGGUAACACUAACUGGAGGACCGAACCGACUAAUGUUGAAAAAUUAGCGGAUGACUUGUGGCUGGGGGUGAAAGGCCAAUCAAACCGGGAGAUAGCUGGUUCUCCCCGAAAGCUAUUUAGGUAGCGCCUCGUGAACUCAUCUUCGGGGGUAGAGCACUGUUUCGGCUAGGGGGUCAUCCCGACUUACCAACCCGAUGCAAACUACGAAUACCGAAGAAUGUUAUCACGGGAGACACACGGCGGGUGCUAACGUCCGUCGUGAAGAGGGAAACAACCCAGACCGCCAGCUAAGGUCCCAAAGUCAUGGUUAAGUGGGAAACGAUGUGGGAAGGCACAGACAGCCAGGAUGUUGGCUUAGAAGCAGCCAUCAUUUAAAGAAAGCGUAAUAGCUCACUGGUCGAGUCGGCCUGCGCGGAAGAUGUAACGGGGCUAAACCAUGCACCGAAGCUGCGGCAGCGACACUAUGUGUUGUUGGGUAGGGGAGCGUUCUGUAAGCCUGCGAAGGUGUGCUGUGAGGCAUGCUGGAGGUAUCAGAAGUGCGAAUGCUGACAUAAGUAACGAUAAAGCGGGUGAAAAGCCCGCUCGCCGGAAGACCAAGGGUUCCUGUCCAACGUUAAUCGGGGCAGGGUGAGUCGACCCCUAAGGCGAGGCCGAAAGGCGUAGUCGAUGGGAAACAGGUUAAUAUUCCUGUACUUGGUGUUACUGCGAAGGGGGGACGGAGAAGGCUAUGUUAGCCGGGCGACGGUUGUCCCGGUUUAAGCAUGUAGGCUGGUUAUCCAGGCAAAUCCGGAUAAUCAAGGCUGAGGUGUGAUGACGAGGCACUACGGUGCUGAAGUAACAAAUGCCCUGCUUCCAGGAAAAGCCUCUAAGCAUCAGGUAACAUUAAAUCGUACCCCAAACCGACACAGGUGGUCAGGUAGAGAAUACCAAGGCGCUUGAGAGAACUCGGGUGAAGGAACUAGGCAAAAUGGUGCCGUAACUUCGGGAGAAGGCACGCUGGUGUGUAGGUGAAGUCCCUGCGGAUGGAGCUGAGACCAGUCGAAGAUACCAGCUGGCUGCAACUGUUUAUUAAAAACACAGCACUGUGCAAACACGAAAGUGGACGUAUACGGUGUGACGCCUGCCCGGUGCCGGAAGGUUAAUUGAUGGGGUUAUCCGUAAGGAGAAGCUCUUGAUCGAAGCCCCGGUAAACGGCGGCCGUAACUAUAACGGUCCUAAGGUAGCGAAAUUCCUUGUCGGGUAAGUUCCGACCUGCACGAAUGGCGUAAUGAUGGCCAGGCUGUCUCCACCCGAGACUCAGUGAAAUUGAACUCGCUGUGAAGAUGCAGUGUACCCGCGGCAAGACGGAAAGACCCCGUGAACCUUUACUAUAGCUUGACACUGAACAUUGAGCCUUGAUGUGUAGGAUAGGUGGGAGGCUUUGAAGCGUGGACGCCAGUCUGCGUGGAGCCAACCUUGAAAUACCACCCUUUAAUGUUUGAUGUUCUAACGUUGGCCCCUGACCGGGGUUGCGGACAGUGUCUGGUGGGUAGUUUGACUGGGGCGGUCUCCUCCCAAAGCGUAACGGAGGAGCACGAAGGUUAGCUAAUCCUGGUCGGACAUCAGGAGGUUAGUGCAAUGGCAUAAGCUAGCUUGACUGCGAGCGUGACGGCGCGAGCAGGUGCGAAAGCAGGUCAUAGUGAUCCGGUGGUUCUGAAUGGAAGGGCCAUCGCUCAACGGAUAAAAGGUACUCCGGGGAUAACAGGCUGAUACCGCCCAAGAGUUCAUAUCGACGGCGGUGUUUGGCACCUCGAUGUCGGCUCAUCACAUCCUGGGGCUGAAGUAGGUCCCAAGGGUAUGGCUGUUCGCCAUUUAAAGUGGUACGCGAGCUGGGUUUAGAACGUCGUGAGACAGUUCGGUCCCUAUCUGCCGUGGGCGCUGGAGAAUUGAGGGGGGCUGCUCCUAGUACGAGAGGACCGGAGUGGACGCAUCACUGGUGUUCGGGUUGUCAUGCCAAUGGCACUGCCCGGUAGCUAAAUGCGGAAGAGAUAAGUGCUGAAAGCAUCUAAGCACGAAACUUGCCCCGAGAUGAGUUCUCCCUGAGACUUUAAGUCUCCUGAAGGAACGUUGAAGACGACGACGUUGAUAGGCCGGGUGUGUAAGCGCAGCGAUGCGUUGAGCUAACCGGUACUAAUGAACCGUGAGGCUUAACCUU
Molecule: ribosomal RNA, 2900 nt
Filed under: Klebsiella pneumoniae
Lineage: Bacteria; Pseudomonadati; Pseudomonadota; Gammaproteobacteria; Enterobacterales; Enterobacteriaceae
Description: bacterial LSU rRNA
Rfam family: Bacterial large subunit ribosomal RNA
Source: RNAcentral